This 476-nucleotide ribosomal RNA is filed under the name uncultured bacterium. RNAcentral's name for it is "bacterial SSU rRNA". It matches the Rfam family "Bacterial small subunit ribosomal RNA", at positions 8 to 507 of the family's 1533-position model. The record is from RNAcentral.
AGAGUUUGAUCCUGGCUCAGGAUGAACGCUGGCGGCGUGCCUAACACAUGCAAGUCGAACGAACCUAAUCGUUCGGAAAGGGUUAGUGGCGCACGGGUGAGUAACACGUAGGUGACCUGCCCUGGAUUGGGGGAUAACUUCUCGAAAGAGAGGCUAAUACCGCAUAUGCUCGGCCAUUCAGUUGGUCGAGUAAAGCUCCGGCGCUCCAGGAGGGGCCCGCGUCCGAUUAGCUAGUUGGUGGGGUAAUGGCUCACCAAGGCUAUGAUCGGUAGCUGGUCUGAGAGGACGAUCAGCCACACGGGAACUGAGAAACGGUCCCGACUCCUACGGGGGGCAGCAGUGAGGAAUAUUGGGCAAUGGGCGAAAGCCUGACCCAGCAACGCCGCGUGGAGGAUGAAGGCCUUCGGGUCGUAAACUCCUUUUACAGGGGAAGAGUGAGGACGGUACCCUGAGAAUAAGUCACGGCUAACUACGUG